UGCCACUAAAUAAAACAUUUAUUGAAAGGAUGAAACUUAAGACCUUCUAAGUAUUAAAAAUGGUACAUUAGGUACUUUAUGCACUGAUAGGAAGCAGUCUUCAAGAUCUAUUGUUACGGGGGAAGAACACAAGGUGUAGAACAAUUAAAAAAUCUAUGUUUUUGGUGAAUACUAGCUACUAUUUGUGAGAAAAAAAGAGUAUCAACAUCUAUAUCUAUAUAAAUAUAUGUAUUUAUGUGUCUGCAUAAAUGCAUUGUGCAUUUGCUUCCAUAUCCAUCCUUGGGAAGGACACAUAAGAAAUGAAUGGUGGUUUAUUCUACAAAGGGGAACUGGGUGGCUGGGAGAUAGUAGUAGUUUGGAGAUAUAUUGUUGUUUAAUCUUUUAAAAUUUGAACCAUGAGAUGGUUCAAAAUAAUAGUUAAAAAUGAAAAGGUGCAUUAAAACAAAAAUAAACCAGGCAAAAUGAAAAUGUCUUUCUCAACAGAGGGUAAGAGCGCAUGGAACCUGGGAUGUGUGUGGAUGCAGGGGGUAAGGUAGGAAUGCACUAGAAAAUCUCUCUGUCACAGUGCGAGCGUCAGGCCAACAGCUUGGGGAUGCUGAGUUCAGCAGGCAGUGGGACGCAGCCCGGCUUUUCGGUGCAGGCCCGGGACGUGAUCAGAACUGUAGCUGGCAGGUGGGCGUGAGAGUGCCCGGGUAGGUGGUGGAGAAGGUGGGGCUGGGGUCAGAGGACGGAGGAUUGAUGGGAGGGUCUUGCCAUGGAAGAAGUGAUGGUCUGGUGGGAAGAAGGCAGAAAGGGCAGGUAGGAGACGUACACUGAGGGCCCACAGCAAGCGCUCAGGAAACAUCUACUGAAUAAAUGAGUGCAUGAAAACCACAAGGCUUAAUGACCAUUGGGACGUGAGUAUUAGGGAACAGGAACAAAGGGUUAGAAGAUGAUUCAGUCACUCAUUCAUCAAAUAAUCACGAGCGUCCACUGUGGGCCCAAACCACACUCCUAAACCUGUAUUCUCAACAAGCACCCCCUCCACAUGACUCUGAUAUCGAUGCUCCCAGAACACACUUUGAGAGGGAGUCUGCUCAAGAAGAGAGGUGGCCGCCUGUCUACAAAGCUCUGAGUGAAGGAGGAGCUGAGGUGACCUGCUGAGAACAGACUGGUUUAGAAGACCUGAGAAGGUUUGAAACAGCCCUGAUGAGUGCUUUAUAGCGAGUCGGUGAGGACAAAGCAGGCUCCUGGGGAACACUGCUGGCUGCAGGGAUUCUGCCUGAAUCACAAAGACGUGGGCUGUCGCCAGAGAUUUCAGAUCAGAAAUGGACUGUGGAGUAGCUGGGAGACUGCAUCCGUGAUCCUCAGAUAACAGAUCCUGAACUAGAAUAUGAGCCCUGUGAAAGUGAGUACCUUGUCUUUCAUAUUCCUGGAUGUAUCCUCAGCUCUUAGAACACUGACCAGCCCAGGUUCUCACGGUACCAAAGAGCCAGGAUGAUCACUUUCCAGUCGCAUCUUCAUAAUGUCAUCCCUUCCUUACGAUUUGCCUCCUGCUCAGACCCAGAUCCCUCUGGCCCACGUGGGUGGUUCUCCACUAGCCAGCCUCCCCCUCUCAGUCCAGCUUCAUCUCACACCAUCAGUGCCCCUUUCCCCAGGGCACCUGUGGAGCACCUUUUAACCACGCGCUGCCCUUUCACAAAUUCCCUAAACUGCAAGUGCUAACCCUCCCUGACUACGUACAUGCUUUCAUCCACCGAAGCCUUUAACUCACCAUGCCACCUUGCCUCACGUGGUUUCGUGUUCUACAGUACGAUUUGUAUUUUGCUGGCUGUAACUUGCUCUAAUUCUCCCCUUAAGUAUUGUACUCUUACCUAACCUUAGCACAAAGACUGUGAGCUAUCGAAAGGCAGGGGUCUCUUUCCUACUUCCUCAGCAUCCACAUAUAUUGCUCCAGGAAGUGCUUGUGUUCCAGCAAAUGUUUUAAAGACUCAUGAUGAAUAAAUGGAUGAAGGAAGGAGGGAAGCAAGCAAGCAAGCAAUCGGAAUAUGACUCCUGGGAAGGAAUCAUUAAGAAAUAAUCAUACAAGGGAUUUUAAAGAUUAUCUUGUAGAUUACCUUCAUGGCAUAGCUGAAGAAACCCAAAUCCAGUGACAUUAGGAGACUAGAGUUAACUGUAGUGGCUAAAUCUCCAAAGACUUCAACCUAAUACUUUUGGGAAUACUCAAUUAUGUUAGGUACGAAAGAGGGAAUAAAGGUGAAAGAACGGAAAGAUUAAACCUUGGUUCAUCCUUGACUCCUCACUUUAUCUCAUCUCCCAUAUCCCAUCCAUGGGGAUAUCAGUUGUCUCUACCCUCGAGGUAUCCUGCACCCCAUUCAGCUUCUGCCAAGCUCACAUCCUUGCUGUCCCCCAUUCGUACCAGGCAUGAU
Equus quagga is the source of this 2408-nucleotide long non-coding RNA. RefSeq lists it as uncharacterized. The transcript has 5 exons. The record is from RefSeq and is a predicted model, not a curated record. Lineage: Eukaryota; Metazoa; Chordata; Mammalia; Perissodactyla; Equidae.